UACGUAGGGGGCAAGCGUUGUCCGGAUUUAUUGGGCGUAAAGGGUGCGUAGGCGGCGCGGUAAGUCGGGUGUGAAAUUUCGAGGCUCAACUUCGAAACUGCAUUCGAUACUGCCGUGCUUGAGGACUGGAGAGGAGACUGGAAUUUACGGUGUAGCGGUGAAAUGCGUAGAUAUCGUAAGGAAGACCAGUGGCGAAGGCGGGUCUCUGGACAGUUCCUGACGCUGAGGCACGAAGGCCAGGGGAGCAAACGGG
RNAcentral lists this ribosomal RNA (253 nucleotides) under uncultured bacterium. RNAcentral's name for it is "partial 16S ribosomal RNA". It matches the Rfam family "Bacterial small subunit ribosomal RNA", at positions 524 to 776 of the family's 1533-position model. The record is from RNAcentral.